UGCCAGCAGCCGCGGUAAUACGAAGGGGGCUAGCGUUGUUCGGAAUUACUGGGCGUAAAGAGCAUGUAGGCGGAUGAAUUAGUCAGAGGUGAAAGCCCCGAGCUCAACUUGGGAACUGCGUUUGAAACUGUAAGACUAGAGUGUGUCAGAGGGGGGUAGAAUUCCAAGUGUAGCAGUGAAAUGCGUAGAGAUUUGGAGGAAUACCAAUGGCGAAGGCAGCCCCCUGGGAUAACACUGACGCUCAUGCACGAAAGCGUGGGGAGCAAACAGGAUUAGAUA
RNAcentral lists this ribosomal RNA (279 nucleotides) under uncultured bacterium. Its description in RNAcentral is "partial 16S ribosomal RNA". It matches the Rfam family "Bacterial small subunit ribosomal RNA", at positions 506 to 784 of the family's 1533-position model. The record is from RNAcentral.